RNAcentral lists this ribosomal RNA (386 nucleotides) under uncultured bacterium. RNAcentral describes it as "bacterial SSU rRNA". It matches the Rfam family "Bacterial small subunit ribosomal RNA", at positions 917 to 1322 of the family's 1533-position model. The record is from RNAcentral.
GGACCCGCACAAGUAGUGGAGCAUGUGGUUUAAUUCGAAGAUACGCGCAGAACCUUACCAACACUUGACAUGUUCGUCGCGACUCUAAGAGAUUAGAGUUUUCGGUUCGGCCGGACGAAACACAGGUGCUGCAUGGCUGUCGUCAGCUCGUGUCGUGAGAUGUUGGGUUAAGUCCCGCAACGAGCGCAACCCUCACUUUUAGUUGCCAUCAUUAAGUUGGGCACUCUGAAAGAACUGCCAGUGAUAAGCUGGAGGAAGGUGGGGAUGACGUCAAGUCCUCAUGGCCCUUACGUGUUGGGCUACACACGUGCUACAAUGGUAUCUACAGUGAGUUAAUCUCCAAAAGAUGUCUCAGUUCGGAUUGGGGUCUGCAACUCGACCCCAUG